Molecule: ribosomal RNA, 520 nt
Filed under: fungal sp. M3
Lineage: Eukaryota; Fungi
Description: eukaryotic LSU rRNA
Rfam family: 5.8S ribosomal RNA (bases 155-308)
Source: RNAcentral
CCGAUAGUGACCGGCUACCCCGGGAUGUUCAUAACCCUUUGUUGUCCGACUCUGUUGCCUCCGGGGCGACCCUGCCUUCGGGCGGGGGCUCCGGGUGGACACUUCAAACUCUUGCGUAACUUUGCAGUCUGAGUAAACUUAAUUAAUAAAUUAAAACUUUUAACAACGGAUCUCUUGGUUCUGGCAUCGAUGAAGAACGCAGCGAAAUGCGAUAAGUAAUGUGAAUUGCAGAAUUCAGUGAAUCAUCGAAUCUUUGAACGCACAUUGCGCCCCCUGGUAUUCCGGGGGGCAUGCCUGUUCGAGCGUCAUUUCACCACUCAAGCCUCGCUUGGUAUUGGGCAACGCGGUCCGCCGCGUGCCUCAAAUCGACCGGCUGGGUCUUCUGUCCCCUAAGCGUUGUGGAAACUAUUCGCUAAAGGGUGUUCGGGAGGCUACGCCGUAAAACAACCCCAUUUCUAAGGUUGACCUCGGAUCAGGUAGGGAUACCCGCUGAACUUAAGCAUAUCAAUAAGCGGAGGAA